RNAcentral lists this unclassified non-coding RNA (460 nucleotides) under Yarrowia lipolytica. The record is from RNAcentral. Lineage: Eukaryota; Fungi; Ascomycota; Dipodascomycetes; Dipodascales.
CAGUCACCAAUGGCACUAUCGUAUGCGCACCUUCGACAACCGUUCAGGGCAGCAAACUGAUUAGGUUCCAACCCAACAGUGUUAUCAAAUGUACGACCUCAACGUCAUGUGAGCAUUGUAAGGAGGAGUGAUGGCAUAACAUGUGAUUUGUUGGAGGUGUUGGGUUAUUUGCACGGUACACUACGAGCAUUCCGGUGUAUCGUACUCGCUCAUGCCUAUCUCCGUUGUGUCUCUUCCAACUACUUGUACCUCAUCCAUUACCCCAAACCCCAUUGGAUGACAGCAAGACAAUGGACAUGUCUGAGAGGAGAGAAACCAGGACGGAUUUCGGGAUGAUGGCCGGAUAUUAAUUGCUCGACGGCAGUGUGGAUGCACCGAGCCGGCAUUAAGCAGGCCAUGUCUAUGUCUAUAUUUCCGUGUCUUGGAGCUAUUGUUGGUGGUCUAUACUGUAUCCUAUUUU